RNAcentral lists this ribosomal RNA (120 nucleotides) under uncultured bacterium. RNAcentral describes it as "partial 16S ribosomal RNA". It matches the Rfam family "Bacterial small subunit ribosomal RNA", at positions 28 to 146 of the family's 1533-position model. The record is from RNAcentral.
GACGAACGCUGGCGGCGCGCCUAAAACAUGCAAGUCGAACGAGAAACCCGGGCUUGCCCGGGUGGACAGUGGCGAACGGGUGAGUAACACGUGAGGAACCUGCCCCGAAGACCGGGACAA